CCUACGGGAGGCAGCAGUAAGGAAUCUUCCACAAUGGACGAAAGUCUGAUGGAGCAACGCCGCGUGCAGGAUGAAGGCUUUCGGGUCGUAAACUGCUUUUAUAUGGGAAGAUUAUGACGGUACCAUAUGAAUAAGGACCGGCUAACUACGUGCCAGCAGCCGCGGUAAUACGUAGGGUCCAAGCGAUAUCCGGAAUUACUGGGCGUAAAGCGUGUGUAGGUGGAUUAAUAAGUGUGAUGCGAAAUCCGGCGGCUCAACCGUUUGGACUGUGUCGCAUACUGUUAGUCUAGAGGACGGCAGAGGUAAGUGGAAUUACGGGUGUAGCAGUGAAAUGCGUAGAUAUCCGUAGGAACACCAAUGGCGAAGGCAGCUUACUGGGCCACACCUGACACUGAGACACGAAAGCGUGGGGAGCGAACAGGAUUAGAUACCCUGGUAGUCCACGCCGUAAACGAUGCAUACUAUUAGUAUGGGGUAUCGACCCCCUGUGCUGAGAAGCUAACGCGAUAAGUAUGCCGCCUGGGGAGUCGAGCGCAAGCUAAAACUAAGAGAUACGCGNGNGAGNGCGACGACGACGACGACGGAGGAGGAG
RNAcentral lists this ribosomal RNA (592 nucleotides) under uncultured bacterium. RNAcentral describes it as "bacterial SSU rRNA". It matches the Rfam family "Bacterial small subunit ribosomal RNA", at positions 338 to 946 of the family's 1533-position model. The record is from RNAcentral.